AACGAACGCUGGCGGCAGGCUUAACACAUGCAAGUCGAGCGAGACCUUCGGGUCUAGCGGCGGACGGGUGGGUAACGCGUGGGAACGUGCCCUUCUCUACGGAAUAGCCCCGGGAAACUGGGAGUAAUACCGUAUACGCCCUUUGGGGGAAAGAUUUAUGGGAGAAGGAUCGGCCCGGGUUGGAUUAGGUGGUUGGUGGUGUAAUGGCCCACCAAGCCGACGAUCCAUAGCUGGUUGGAGAGGAUGAUCAGCCACACUGGGACUGAGACACGGCCCAGACUCCUACGGGAGGGAGCAGUGGGGAAUCUUAGACGCGGGGGGCAACCCUGAUCUAGCCAUGCCGCGUGAGUGGUGAAGGCCUUAGGGUUGUAAAGCCCUUUGAGCUGGGAAGAGAAUGACGGUACCAGGAGAAGAAGCCCCGGCUAACUACGUG
Molecule: ribosomal RNA, 433 nt
Filed under: uncultured bacterium
Lineage: Bacteria
Description: partial 16S ribosomal RNA
Rfam family: Bacterial small subunit ribosomal RNA
Source: RNAcentral